Long non-coding RNA from Rhipicephalus sanguineus (brown dog tick), 222 nucleotides. RefSeq lists it as uncharacterized. The transcript has 3 exons. NCBI's taxonomy places the organism in Eukaryota, Metazoa, Arthropoda, Arachnida, Ixodida, Ixodidae. The record is from RefSeq and is a predicted model, not a curated record.
CACCUCAUUGCAGACCCACCAUCUGUGCAAUCACCCGAGGAAGGCAGGGCCUCAGCUGAAAUGGGUUCUCCCGUUGGAGUUGUAGUGGAUGCCUCAUAUUAUGUAAAGUUUUCUGAAGCUGGUGUUCAAGCCACCACUUCGACAGCUGAAGCUUCAGUAAAUACCACUUCAUUGCUAAAGGAUGCUGAAACUCAAACUGACAUCACAGGCAGUGUUCUGAAG